AGUGAACGCUGGCGGCAUGCCUAACACAUGCAAGUCGAACGAUCUUUGGCAGUUUAUCGUCAGAGGUAGUGGCAAACGGGUGAGUAAUACGUGGACAAUCUUCCCUCGAGCGGGGGAUAACUCCGGGAAACCGGAGCUAAUACCGCGUGAGACCACGUCCUGGCAUCAGGAUGGGGUUAAAGCUCCGCAAGGGGCACUUGAGGAGGGGUUCACGGCCUAUCAGCUAGUUGGCGGGGUUAAAGCCCACCAAGGCGACGACGGGUAACCGGUCUGAAAGGACGACCGGUCACAAUGGCACUGAGACACGGGCCAUACUCCUACGGGAGGCAGCAGUGGGGAAUUUUGCUCAAUGGGGGAAACCCUGAAGCAGCGAUGCCGCGUGGAGGACGAAGGUCUUCGGAUUGUAAACUCCUUUUGCUGGUGAAAAAUAGCGGCGUGAAUAACGCCGACUGAUGGGUAACCGGCGAAUAAGCCACGGCUAACUUCGUGCCAGCAGCCGCGGUAAU
This 506-nucleotide ribosomal RNA is filed under the name uncultured bacterium. Its description in RNAcentral is "bacterial SSU rRNA". It matches the Rfam family "Bacterial small subunit ribosomal RNA", at positions 29 to 524 of the family's 1533-position model. The record is from RNAcentral.